Molecule: transfer RNA, 75 nt
Filed under: Candidatus Pacebacteria bacterium CG1_02_43_31
Lineage: Bacteria; Bacillati; Minisyncoccota
Also listed under: 4 other names
Description: tRNA-Arg
Rfam family: tRNA
About the family: Transfer RNA (tRNA) molecules are approximately 80 nucleotides in length.
Source: RNAcentral
GCUCCUGUAGUUAAAUGGAUAUAACAAGUGCCUCCUAAGCGCUAGUUCCAAGUUCGAUUCUCGGCGGGGGCACCA